AUGGGGGUCAAGCUCACGCUCCCGCCGGCGGCACUGAUCUCCCAGGUGGCCAAGCUGGGAUCCCUCCUUGUCCUCCUCCUCCUCGCGCUGCUGCUGCCCGUCUUCCUCAGGGUCGCCUACGGCUACCUUCUCUUCAACGGCAUCGUCCUCGCGCUCGGCAUCCAGGCCUUCGUCGGCAGCGGCGGCGCUUCCAUCGCCGACGACGAAGACUGGCACGGGUCUUCGAGUGCCGGUCAGGCCGUCGAGGCCUCACCGUUCCAGAGGGCUGGAGCUGAAUCAGUCCGUCCCGACGACCGGACGGCGGUUGUGGGUGAUCGUGUCGUGGUGCCUGCCUUUGUGGCAAGUAAUAUAAUCGAGCUGAAGACGAAGACCAAGGAGGUGGUGCUGAAGGUGCUGAAGAAGUGCCCAUCGACUGCAAGCAUCUUCUUCCUCAGCGCGCUGAACGGCAGCCAACAAGCCGGCGGAGAGGAAAAGGCACCGCAAGAGGAGGAGGAAGAGUGCGACGUCGACAUGGACGGCGACGUGAGGAUGAGUCGGGAGGAGCUAUUUGCCAACACGGAGCGGUUCAUCGGCAACUUCCGCAAAGAGCUCAGCAUGCAGAGACAGUAG
This 609-nucleotide ribosomal RNA is filed under the name Triticum aestivum (bread wheat). RNAcentral's name for it is "partial small subunit ribosomal RNA". Lineage: Eukaryota; Viridiplantae; Streptophyta; Magnoliopsida; Poales; Poaceae. The record is from RNAcentral.